UGAAAAUCACAAAUAGGCUCGCAUAUACCCAAUUUCCUUUGUUGACUCUGAAUCGACCACGAAGCUACCCAAUCUCCUCUUUUAUUCACUACAUCCAAAGCCUUCCCCUUUCUCUCUUGACGACAACGACAAUGACCCACAUGUCUUAAGUUGUCUUGAGAGAGAGAGAGAGAGAGGAAGUUUGCAGAUAUAAUUUUUAUCUCUUGGCAUAAUCCGUCUAAAACAAAAAUAAAAAUAUUUGGGGGAGCAAAAAAGCAACUAACUUUUUUCAAUCCAGCAUCCUCUUUUCUCUAUCUUUCUCAUCACCUGUUUUUCCAACCUCCACAUGUAAUUCACAUGCGAGUAUUGUAUACAGAGUCACCAUCUUUUUUUGUGAAUAUUUUGUGGGUGCGGUUUGGUAUAUGCAAUGGAUGCCGAUGAAGAUAAAGUGGGGUUGUGAUAAGAAGAGUUCUGUUGUGGUUUGGUGCAUAAACAUCCUUAUCUGGGUUCGGGUUUGUUUUUCUUCCUGGUGACAGUAUGGACUCGAGGCUCUACAAAGUUUGGAAGAAAAAUAAUUUCAUGAUUGGGCAUUCAACAUGAUAAGCGCAAGAGGCUCGACGUUUUUCACUCCUAAUCGUUGUCGUCGUCACCAUCAAAGUCGACCGGAGCAGGAACUGUAUUGGUCGUUGGCGUGAAACUAGCUGUAAGGUGUGGGAUUGUUGGAGAGAAAAGGGGAGGCUUGGGAUGUAGUGAAUAACAGAGGAGAUAGGGGUAGUAUCGUGGUCGAUUCGGAGUCCAUAAAGGAGAUUGGGUGUAAGUGGGUCUAUUUGUAAUUUUUAUAAAGUGUGUACGUGGUAUGCAAUUAUUGGCCUGCUGUAAAAAUA
Carya illinoinensis is the source of this 863-nucleotide long non-coding RNA. RefSeq lists it as uncharacterized. The record is from RefSeq and is a predicted model, not a curated record. The transcript has 2 exons. NCBI's taxonomy places the organism in Eukaryota, Viridiplantae, Streptophyta, Magnoliopsida, Fagales, Juglandaceae.